This 600-nucleotide ribosomal RNA is filed under the name Aspergillus pseudodeflectus. Its description in RNAcentral is "eukaryotic LSU rRNA". It matches the Rfam family "Eukaryotic large subunit ribosomal RNA", at positions 1 to 603 of the family's 3401-position model. Lineage: Eukaryota; Fungi; Ascomycota; Eurotiomycetes; Eurotiales; Aspergillaceae. The record is from RNAcentral.
UUGACCUCGGAUCAGGUAGGGAUACCCGCUGAACUUAAGCAUAUCAAUAAGCGGAGGAAAAGAAACCAACCGGGAUUGCCUCAGUAACGGCGAGUGAAGCGGCAAGAGCUCAAAUUUGAAAUCUGGCCCCUCCGGGGUCCGAGUUGUAAUUUGCAGAGGAUGCUUCGGGUGCGGCCCCUGUCUAAGUGCCCUGGAACGGGCCGUCAGAGAGGGUGAGAAUCCCGUCUUGGGCAGGGUGCCCGUGCCCGUGUGAAGCUCCUUCGACGAGUCGAGUUGUUUGGGAAUGCAGCUCUAAAUGGGUGGUAAAUUUCAUCUAAAGCUAAAUACCGGCCGGAGACCGAUAGCGCACAAGUAGAGUGAUCGAAAGAUGAAAAGCACUUUGAAAAGAGAGUUAAACAGCACGUGAAAUUGUUGAAAGGGAAGCGCUUGCGACCAGACUCGGCCCCGGGGUUCAGCCAGCACUCGUGCUGGUGUACUUCCCCGGGGGCGGGCCAGCGUCGGUUUGGGCGGCCGGUCAAAGGCCCCAGGAAUGUGUCGCCCUCCGGGGCGUCUUAUAGCCUGGGGUGCAAUGCGGCCAGCCCGGACCGAGGAACGCGCUCG